CAGCCUGAAGUGAUGAUUCACAUUCGUGUCUCUUCUCUGAUAAAUUCUUGAAGAAAAUUUUGUGUGUCUGAUCAGGCCU
Nomascus leucogenys (northern white-cheeked gibbon) is the source of this 79-nucleotide small nucleolar RNA. Ensembl annotates it as small nucleolar RNA, C/D box 111B. Its record names the gene SNORD111B. The record is from Ensembl. Lineage: Eukaryota; Metazoa; Chordata; Mammalia; Primates; Hylobatidae.